GGGGGGGGGGGGGGGGGGGGGAACAAAAUUGGAAAAAAUUAGGGUUCUCUCCCCCAAAAUCCCGCACCACCAUCCCCAAUACCAGCUUCCCUUUGCUUCCCUUGUCCACUCCGUCGCCGAGCAACACGUGCACGUCUACAGCGCUUCCAUUGUCCACUCCGUCGCCGCCACCUUGCUGCCUCUAAGCGCCGUCAAUGGGCUCCUCUUCCAACGACGAGGAGCACACACCUGUGCAACAGCGCCGUCGUUAGUUCCUCUGGCUCCAACCUCCUCUUCUGUGCAGAGGUAAGAUUUCCACAAAAGCAAAUAUUGUUUGUUUUUUUCUUUGUUCUUGUUAUACUUUAGAUAUAUGAUUCUGCUUUAGAAGAAGAACCUGACAUGGACUAUUAUAUUCCUCUUUAUAUCAUUGGAAUUCCUUGAUUUGGUUAUGAUUUGGAAUCUCCGAGAGCAAGGAAUUAUUGCUGAGGCUGCAUUUUUUUAGUCUCCUAAUAGAGAAUUACAGAAAAAUAAACUAAUUGCCUCCACUAAACUGUAAUUAUCCGUUGUAUUUAUUAAUUUCAAAAACUCAACACCAACCACUAUUCAUGGCUUAAUUGUUUUUUAAAUGGUUAGAAUUUAAAAGUUUUUUUUUGGUACAUCAAAAUGAUAAAUUACACCCUUUAGUGAUUGAACUUUGGAUCUUCCUAUCCCCAACUCAUAUGUCUCUUAGCUUUAUCACUUAAGUUAUCUUUCUCGUGAGAAAUUCUGAAAAUAUAAAAAUAAAUGAUUUUUUAUAGAAACUUUAAAUAAAUGAUUUUAAUAAGAGUAAAUUUGGAAGAUUGGUAAAUAUUUUUUAAAAAUUAAUACAUUAAAUUGUUUUAUUACAUAAUUUUAUUGAUAAAGACGUUAUGAUAUUAAUAAGAUAUUAAUAAGAGACUGAAAGGUAUUUUAUUUUUAAAACGUGAAAACGACAUCGUUUUGGAGUCUGGAGGGAAAGGCAAAUUGGAACGUUCUGUGCGUUGCGUUUUCUGAAUUCUGAUUCACUCUUCACUUCACCAUACCCUAGGUGAAGUCCGCUCCUUGCUCAGGGUGUUCAACUACGGGGUAGUGGGAACUUGAGGGAAGCUGUGGAUUUCUUAUGUAACUUUUAUUCUUGUUGGCAUAUUUGCAAUAUAUUUACAGCAAUAGGAAAGGAAACAGCCUUUUUUUAUAGCUUGUGGCCUACAGCCUAUGGCCAUGGAUUUUGAAUCAAAUUAUGAUAUUGCUGCCACUGCUCACUUCAUUCGCACUCACAACUUCACCAGAGUUGCAUUACAAUUUCCAGAUGAUCUUCUGAAAGAUUCAACUAGAGUGGUCACUGCUCUGCGCAAGAGACUUCAAUCAUUGAGAGAAUUUGAUGUCACAAGCAGUGCGGAUGAGACAGACGUUGGGUUGUUUGUGAUGGCAGACACCACCUAUGGCAGUUGUUGUGUUGAUGAAGUUGGAGCAUCACACAUUAAUGCUGAUUGUGUCAUACAUUACGGUCAUACAUGUUUUAGCCCGUGAGUCACUUUGCUGAUGUUCCAUCUCCAUUUAUGUUUCCAUCGAAAGAUAUAACAAAAUUAAAUGGGCUCCAAGAACCAGCCUGUGGUUGUAGCAACAAUGCCUUUUCUGAUGGGACCAGUGGGACUAUAUAUAGUAUUGGAGGAUUGACAUGGAAAUUAUCUGAGGGACAAAGCAUGGAAGACUACUUGCUCUUUUGGAUUGGACUUGAUAAUUCUGCUUUUGCAAAUGUAGUGCUCACAUUCAAUGCCUGUGAAAUAGUCAGAUAUGAUGUGACUGGGAAUCGAAUGGUGACAGACUUGUCUCCACAGAGGAGGAUUCUUAAACGUAGAUAUUACCUGGUGGAGAGGGCUAAGGAUGCUAACAUUGUUGCGAUUUUGGUUGGAACUCUUGGAGUUGCUGGUUAUCUGAACAUCAUAAAUCAGAUGACGGAGCUCAUUAAAGGGGCGGGCAAAAAACCCUAUACUUUGGUUAUGGGAAGACCAAACCCAGCUAAACUUGCAAACUUUCCUGAGUGUGAUGUUUUUUUAUACGUCUCUUGUGCCCAAACUGCUUUGCUGGAUAGCAAAGAGUAUCUUGCUCCAGUUAUUACUCCCUUUGAAGCAUCAAUAGCUUUCAACAGGGGAAGCCAGUGGACCGGAGCCUAUGUAAUGGGAUUUAGAGAUCUAAUUAAUCUACCUCAAUUAAAAGUUGAAAACCAAGAUGAAGAAGCACGAUUUUCAUUCUUACAGGGCAGAUAUGUUGAAGAUUUUGAAAAUCAAGAAAAUGGUGAGCAACAAAGUGAAGCUCUUGCUCUAGCUAACGCGACAGAGAAGGCACUGCAGUUGCGGGAGAACUGUAAUUCUCUAAUCAAAGGGGAUGCUAGAUCAGGAGCAGAAUUUUUCAGGAAUCGAUCUUAUCAUGGUCUGAAUAUGCCCAGCGAAAACACCUCCCCAGAACCAUAUUUCAAAGGAAGGAGUGGAAGGGCAUCUGGAUAUGAGGAUGAGAAGAACAAACAUGACAAUUUGUGAUUAAUGGCUACGAGAUGUAAUCAUAUAUUAUAUUUCAUUGUUUCUCUCCUUUUCGAAUUUAUAGCAAAGGAGAGAAAAAAACAAUUUUGUUUUUAUUAUCAUCAUUAUAAUUAAUGCCACUCAUAAAUCUUUCAUAAUAUUAUUGUCUGUUUUUUUUAAA
Lotus japonicus is the source of this 2691-nucleotide RNA transcript. RefSeq lists it as uncharacterized. The transcript is spliced from 9 exons. The record is from RefSeq and is a predicted model, not a curated record. Lineage: Eukaryota; Viridiplantae; Streptophyta; Magnoliopsida; Fabales; Fabaceae.